AAUAAGUACAGUUUUGCACUAUUCAUCUUCAACGUUUGAUCGUUUGUUUUAUUUGAAAAAAAUUUAUGAUUACUAUAUUUAUUGUUAUUAGAUGAUAAAACAUGAAUAAUACUUUAUGUGUGACUAUUUUUUAAAAAAAAAUUAUAAUUUUUUUAAAUAAGACGGACGGUCAAACGUUGGACACGGAUUUCCACGGUUGCACUUAUU
RNAcentral lists this microRNA precursor (207 nucleotides) under Oryza rufipogon (brownbeard rice). RNAcentral's name for it is "MIR812 microRNA precursor family". It matches the Rfam family "MIR812 microRNA precursor family". Lineage: Eukaryota; Viridiplantae; Streptophyta; Magnoliopsida; Poales; Poaceae. The record is from Rfam by way of RNAcentral.